This 450-nucleotide ribosomal RNA is filed under the name Streptococcus cristatus. RNAcentral describes it as "bacterial SSU rRNA". It matches the Rfam family "Bacterial small subunit ribosomal RNA", at positions 28 to 464 of the family's 1533-position model. Lineage: Bacteria; Bacillati; Bacillota; Bacilli; Lactobacillales; Streptococcaceae. The record is from RNAcentral.
GACGAACGCUGGCGGCGUGCCUAAUACAUGCAAGUAGAACGCUGAAGGGAGAGCUUGCUCUUCUGGAUGAGUUGCGAACGGGUGAGUAACGCGUAGGUAACCUGCCUGGUAGCGGGGGAUAACUAUUGGAAACGAUAGCUAAUACCGCAUAACAUUGACUAUUGCAUGAUAGUCAAUUGAAAGGUGCAAAUGCACCACUACCAGAUGGACCUGCGUUGUAUUAGCUAGUUGGUGGGGUAACGGCUCACCAAGGCGACGAUACAUAGCCGACCUGAGAGGGUGAUCGGCCACACUGGGACUGAGACACGGCCCAGACUCCUACGGGAGGCAGCAGUAGGGAAUCUUCGGCAAUGGACGGAAGUCUGACCGAGCAACGCCGCGUGAGUGAAGAAGGUUUUCGGAUCGUAAAGCUCUGUGUAAGAGAAGAAACGAGUGUGAGAAGUGGAAAAG